Long non-coding RNA from Zalophus californianus (California sea lion), 509 nucleotides. RefSeq lists it as uncharacterized. The transcript has 3 exons. The record is from RefSeq and is a predicted model, not a curated record. NCBI's taxonomy places the organism in Eukaryota, Metazoa, Chordata, Mammalia, Carnivora, Otariidae.
UGGGGAUCCUGAUCCCCUUCAGGCUGGCUGCGUGGUCACAAGCUCCAGCCUCCAGGGGAGAUAGGAAAUGAGCAGGAAAACAAGGGGAGGGGGGAGGGUCCCCAGCUCCAGUCUCUGAUUCUCACUCAGGGAGGGCCCCCUGCUCUCAGUCUACCCUCACUGAGGAGUGGGCAUAAUUAGGAGCAAGAAACAGAAAGCAGUCAUUUCAUCAACAAGUACCGCCUGGUGCGUCAGGCCAGGCCCCAGAGCUGGAGGGCCUCUGGCUCCCGCGCUUACCAACGGGGGCCCCUCUUCUCAGCCGCCGGACCCGACAGGCAACACCGGAGAGUUCCGCCAGGGAUCCGGGGGUGCAAGCUGUGGAAAUCAGGGCGGCUUGGGACGGCAAGAUCCCGUGAGGCACCCAGAGGCUUGCCUGGUGCCAUCGAGGGAUAUUUACAUAUUAAAAGAAGCUUCUGGAAGAGAGCAACGCUUGCUCGGAGCUUUGUGCCAUCCGGAGAAGAAAUGCCUGA